Molecule: non-coding RNA, 637 nt
Organism: Macaca mulatta (Rhesus monkey)
Lineage: Eukaryota; Metazoa; Chordata; Mammalia; Primates; Cercopithecidae
Source: RefSeq, a predicted model, not a curated record
GCUUAGAGAACCAGAAGUGGGAUCCACAUACCACAAGCUGGAGGGUUGAGCUUGUGGCACCUAGGCUCGCUUCACUGAGGUUUGUGGAGGUGAGGGAGAUUGCAGCUUGGCCAACAUGGUAGAAAGGUGGCAGGGUAGACUCUAGAUUCUAGAGGGCAACCUCCUUCUGCUCAUAUUGGAGCGUGGCAGGCACGCAGUGUUUCCCAGGGAAUCCUGAGCACGGCAUGUCUGGCUUUGACCACCCAGAUGCUUCGAGUCAGAAGAUGGAGGAGUCACCUGUUGCAUGCUGGAGGCAGGAGCUUGCAGACGGUGUGGUUCUGUGGCUUGCCUCGCUGCAAUUGGUGGCGGAGACAGAGACUGCAGCUCGACUGCAAUGAGUAUUGUCAUCUGCAUGAGCAAAUCUGGUUCAUCGCAUCUUUGCAAAGGAAAAGGACGGGGAGAAUCAUGUGUACAAUGUUUUAAGGCCAAGAUUCACAACCAAAACAAAGUAUUAACUUUUGCCUUUAAGAAACUGCAGUGUUGAACCCUGUUUUAUUUAUGGCUGGAAUGCAGUGGCAUGAUCUUGACUUGCUGCAACCUCCACCUCCCAGGUUCAAGCCAUUCUCCUCCCUCAGUCUCCUGAGUAGCUGGAUUACAG